This is a long non-coding RNA of Nematostella vectensis (starlet sea anemone), 1062 nucleotides long. RefSeq lists it as uncharacterized. The record is from RefSeq and is a predicted model, not a curated record. NCBI's taxonomy places the organism in Eukaryota, Metazoa, Cnidaria, Anthozoa, Actiniaria, Edwardsiidae. The transcript is spliced from 2 exons.
UCCGCCCCAACUUCGGAGACGCUCCGCCAAAUCUUCGUCUGAAAGGUCGUUAUAUCCUCGGGAAGGUCUCGGAAUCUGGAACAUAGUAAAACAAGAACAGACGAGAUGCACUAUUCAAAUGGUCUAGAUUGAGGAUUUACUAAAAGAAUAAUCGAUAGAUUGAGCAUAUAUAUACAAGGAGCAAGCGAGGAACCACAUUUACCUGAAGAUAAGGCAUCCUAUAAACUGCAAGUACUUUACUAAGUACUCCCUCGCUCAAAGCCAACGUCCUUCCACCCCAACCACCUUCGCCCCCACCCCAACUUUUUGGACCUUCCACCCUGGUGGAAUAAAGGCUUUGGUCCUUAAAACCAUUAAGACAGACAAUUCCUAAAGGGGAGAGAGGAAUGAAGGUAACAACCAUACUGUAUCAAAUAUCACACUUUCCUUUGUCAACUGACUUUCCUUUGUUCAAAAGCUUACCUGUGUCCCCAAAAGGCGAACUGCUUUCUCCCAAGUUCUUUGUGGCUGUCUUUGCAAAAGUCAGAAACUAAUGCUUGCCAAUCUUGAUAGAAUGGUUCCUUGUAUCUGUUCUCCCUCCCAGGCAAGCAUACAGCAUGGACUUGAAAGUAACAAAUUUAAAAAUAUUAAAUCAAGCAUAGCAAGUUUACAGUGGAUUAUUUAGUUGCCAAUAUGAAAAGACUUAGAAUAGUUUUCACUAAAAUGCUGGACAAUCUAUGAUCUCACAGCAUGGAGAAAUCCAUUAUGAAGUUACCUGAAUUCUAAAAUCGCUUCGCUUGAGAGUCAAACACAAUUUUAAAAGCUCUUUAGCUUUCAUUUUUUUUUUUCACAAUUAGGAAUAAUAUUGUCAAUUUUCAAGAAAUUUCCUCAUUAAUAGAACUCCUGACCGUAGCCUUGGGCUACCUGUGGAUUAGUAGCUUUUCAUGUGCAUUUGAAUUAAAAAUUCUCUGUAAUUUUUUUUUCUUACAUUGAUCUACAUUAGAGAAAGAUUGUUUGAUUGUCAUCAGAUCUUUUACUAUUUUGACAAUCUAAAUGACCAUUAAACUUCUAAAUUUAUGUUCA